Molecule: ribosomal RNA, 207 nt
Filed under: uncultured bacterium
Lineage: Bacteria
Description: partial 16S ribosomal RNA
Rfam family: Bacterial small subunit ribosomal RNA
Source: RNAcentral
UGCGUAGGUGGUUAUGUAAGUUAUCUGUGAAAUCCCCGGGCUCAACCUGGGCAGGUCAGAUAAGACUGUGUAACUCGAGUAUAGGAGAGGGUAGUGGAAUUUCCGGUGUAGCGGUGAAAUGCGUAGAGAUCGGAAGGAACACCAGUGGCGAAGGCGGCUACCUGGCCUAAUACUGACACUGAGGCACGAAAGCGUGGGGAGCAAACA